RNAcentral lists this ribosomal RNA (403 nucleotides) under bacterium. Its description in RNAcentral is "partial 16S ribosomal RNA". It matches the Rfam family "Bacterial small subunit ribosomal RNA", at positions 355 to 776 of the family's 1533-position model. The record is from RNAcentral.
UGGGGAAUAUUGCACAAUGGAGGGAACUCUGAUGCAGCGACGCCGCGUGAACGAAGAAGGCUUUCGCGUCGUAAAGUUCUUUUAUAUGGGAAGAUAAUGACGGUACCAUAAGAAAAAGCCCCGGCUAACUACGUGCCAGCAGCCGCGGUAAUACGUAGGGGGCUAGCGUUGUCCGGAAUCACUGGGCGUAAAGGGUUCGCAGGCGGAAAUGCAAGUCAGGUGUAAAAGGCAGUAGCUUAACUACUGUAAGCAUUUGAAACUGGAUAUCUUGAGAAGAGUAGAGGUAAGUGGAAUUUUUAGUGUAGCGGUGAAAUGCGUAGAUAUUAAAAAGAAUACCGGUGGCGAAGGCGACUUACUGGGCUCAUUCUGACGCUGAGGAACGAAAGCGUGGGUAGCAAACAGG